Molecule: ribosomal RNA, 497 nt
Filed under: uncultured bacterium
Lineage: Bacteria
Description: partial 16S ribosomal RNA
Rfam family: Bacterial small subunit ribosomal RNA
Source: RNAcentral
GAUGAACGCUGGCGGCGUGCCUAAUACAUGCAAGUCGAGCGAACAGAUGAGGAGCUUGCUCCUCUGACGUUAGCGGCGGACGGGUGAGUAACACGUGGAUAACCUACCUAUAAGACUGGGAUAACUUCGGGAAACCGGAGCUAAUACCGGAUAAUAUAUUUAACCGCAUGGUUCAAUAGUGAAAGACGGUUUUGCUGUCACUUAUAGAUGGAUCCGCGCCGCAUUAGCUAGUUGGUAAGGUAACGGCUUACCAAGGCAACGAUGCGUAGCCGACCUGAGGGGGUGAUCGGCCACACUGGAACUGAGACACGGUCCAGACUCCUACGGGAGGCAGCAGUAGGGAAUCUUCCGCAAUGGGCGAAAGCCUGACGGAGCAACGCCGCGUGAGUGAUGAAGGUCUUCGGAUCGUAAAACUCUGUUAUUAGGGAAGAACAAAUGUGUAAGUAACUAUGCACGUCUUGACGGUACCUAAUCAGAAAGCCACGGCUAACUACGUG